Molecule: ribosomal RNA, 443 nt
Filed under: uncultured bacterium
Lineage: Bacteria
Description: partial 16S ribosomal RNA
Rfam family: Bacterial small subunit ribosomal RNA
Source: RNAcentral
CCUACGGGUGGCAGCAGUGGGGAAUAUUGGGCAAUGGGCGCAAGCCUGACCCAGCAACGCCGCGUGAAGGAAGAAGGCUUUCGGGUUGUAAACUUCUUUUGUCAGGGACGAAGCAAGUGACGGUACCUGACGAAUAAGCCACGGCUAACUACGUGCCAGCAGCCGCGGUAAUACGUAGGUGGCAAGCGUUAUCCGGAUUUACUGGGUGUAAAGGGCGUGUAGGCGGGGAAGCAAGUCAGAUGUGAAAACCACGGGCUCAACCUGUGGCCUGCAUUUGAAACUGUUUUUCUUGAGGGCUGGGGAGGCAAUCGGAAUUCCGUGUGUAGCGGUGAAAUGCGUAGAUAUCGAGAGGAACACUCGUGGCGAAGGCGGGUUCCUGGACAUUAACGGACGCUGAGGCACGAAGGCCAGGGGAGCGAAAGGGAUUAGAUACCCCGGUAGUC